RNAcentral lists this transfer RNA (89 nucleotides) under Alphaproteobacteria bacterium. Its description in RNAcentral is "tRNA-Cys". The record is from RNAcentral. Lineage: Bacteria; Pseudomonadati; Pseudomonadota; Alphaproteobacteria. RNAcentral also lists the same sequence under 1 other name.
CAUCGCGAUCAGCGAGGUGAGGAUCGUGCCGUACACGGGCGCCAGCGCGCCGAAUUUCUCGGUGACCGGGUUCCAGUCCUGCGUGAUGA